CGGCAAGAUGGCGCCGGGUGAAACGCCCACUGAGAGCCUCAUUUUCACUCUUCAGAAACCAGCGGGUGACGUCAGUCUAUGGUGGUAACGUGAUACAUGUGAGCGUUGACAGCUCGGAGUUAGAGCCCCCCCCCCUUUAUAAGGACAGGUGCCUCUAUUACUGCCUCUUUGUCUGAUGCCUGGUAGAUGGUGACUGCUGUGUUUGUGCAGAUUUCUGUGGCCCCAUGGUUGAGUGAAGAUUCAGGGUUCGCCUCUCCCCUGUUUGAGCCACAGUACAGAGUCAGCCAUCCAUGGUCGCUGUACAGUAGGGCCCCAUAUUGAGCAAGAUUAAGUGCCAGACUGCUGCUUUGCCUAAUUCCAGUGUUGUCUGACCACUGGUUUCUGCGUUGGCUUUAUCCUGUCGGUCCGACGUCUCACGCCUCACAUUCCUGAUGGACUGUUCAACCUUUCAUCGUGUUGAUUGUUGUUUUUAAAUAUUUUAUUGUGACCCUGAACCAACUGCCUCUCACUCUUUUCCUUGUUUUAGGCAGCUGGACGACCUUCGGGGAGUAGUUGUGGGAUUCACACCACUUUGCAUGUAGGCCGAAAGGGUGGUGGUCCCUUGAACAGUGUGUUGUGGUUUUGUCCUUGCAGUGUGAGUUGCAGUGGUAGUGAUCAGUGUGCUCACGUGCUGGUGUCUAUUUGGGUUUGUGAUAGAAUCUCCCCGUAGUAAGUACGCUGCCUACAUAAUGCUCCCCGCUAUUUAGGUUGAAGUGUGUUGUAUCUCUGUGGUCACAGUAUUUGUUGUUUUAGCUUUUAUAAACAUUCAGAAAUAAAAAGCUGCUCGUUUUUAUUUAUAAUUGUCGAUGUUUUUCCCCCAUUGUAGUCCUCCCAUUAUUAAAUAAAGAUUUAAUUGUGAACUGAA
Hippoglossus stenolepis (Pacific halibut) is the source of this 904-nucleotide long non-coding RNA. RefSeq lists it as uncharacterized. NCBI's taxonomy places the organism in Eukaryota, Metazoa, Chordata, Actinopteri, Pleuronectiformes, Pleuronectidae. The transcript is spliced from 3 exons. The record is from RefSeq and is a predicted model, not a curated record.